GACGAACGCUGGCGGCGUGCUUAACACGUGCAAGUCGAGCGGUAAGGCCCUUUCGGGGGUACGACGAGCGGCGAACGGGUGAGUAACACGUGGGUGACCUGCCCUCAGCUCUGGGAUAAGCCUGGGAAACCGGGUCUAAUACUGGAUAUGACUCCAUGACGCAUGUUGUGGGGUGGAAAGCCUUGUGCGGCUGAGGAUGGGCCCGCGGCCUAUCAGCUUGUUGGUGGGGUGAUGGCCUACCAAGGCGACGACGGGUAGCCGGCCUGAGAGGGCGACCGGCCACACUGGGACUGAGACACGGCCCAGACUCCUACGGGAGGCAGCAGUGGGGAAUCUUGCGCAAUGGGCGAAAGCCUGACGCAGCGACGCCGCGUGAGGGAUGACGGCCUGG
RNAcentral lists this ribosomal RNA (391 nucleotides) under uncultured bacterium. Its description in RNAcentral is "bacterial SSU rRNA". It matches the Rfam family "Bacterial small subunit ribosomal RNA", at positions 28 to 419 of the family's 1533-position model. The record is from RNAcentral.